RNAcentral lists this ribosomal RNA (253 nucleotides) under uncultured bacterium. RNAcentral's name for it is "partial 16S ribosomal RNA". It matches the Rfam family "Bacterial small subunit ribosomal RNA", at positions 524 to 776 of the family's 1533-position model. The record is from RNAcentral.
UACAGAGGUCUCAAGCGUUGUUCGGAUUCAUUGGGCGUAAAGGGUGCGUAGGCGGCGCGGUAAGUCGGGUGUGAAAGCCCUCGGCUUAACCGAGGAAGUGCAUUCGAAACUACGGGACUUGAAUACUGAAGAGGAUCGCGGAAUUCCCGGUGUAGAGGUGAAAUUCGUAGAUAUCGGGAGGAACACCAGUGGCGAAGGCGGCGAUCUGGGCAGAUAUUGACGCUGAUGUGCGAAAGCGUGGGGAGCAAACAGG